UGAUUGUCCAAACGCAAUUCUUGUUACAUCCUAACCAAGAACUGUGGGUGGACAUCAGU
This 59-nucleotide microRNA precursor is filed under the name Melibe leonina. RNAcentral describes it as "microRNA mle-mir-219 precursor". Its record names the gene mle-mir-219. It matches the Rfam family "mir-219 microRNA precursor family", at positions 6 to 68 of the family's 79-position model. Rfam says of the family: The hairpin precursors (represented here) are predicted based on base pairing and cross-species conservation -- their extents are not known. In this case the mature sequence is excised from the 5' arm of the hairpin. Lineage: Eukaryota; Metazoa; Mollusca; Gastropoda; Nudibranchia; Dendronotidae. The record is from miRBase by way of RNAcentral.